This 472-nucleotide ribosomal RNA is filed under the name uncultured bacterium. Its description in RNAcentral is "bacterial SSU rRNA". It matches the Rfam family "Bacterial small subunit ribosomal RNA", at positions 355 to 825 of the family's 1533-position model. The record is from RNAcentral.
UGGGGAAUUUUGGACAAUGGGGGCAACCCUGAUCCAGCAAUGCCGCGUGAGUGAAGAAGGCCUUCGGGUUGUAAAGCUCUUUUGUCAGGGAAGAAACGGUAGUAGCGAAUAACUAUUACUAAUGACGGUACCUGAAGAAUAAGCACCGGCUAACUACGUGCCAGCAGCCGCGGUAAUACGUAGGGUGCAAGCGUUAAUCGGAAUUACUGGGCGUAAAGCGUGCGCAGGCGGUUGUGUAAGUCAGAUGUGAAAUCCCCGGGCUCAACCUGGGAAUUGCAUUUGAGACUGCACGGCUAGAGUGUGUCAGAGGGGGGUAGAAUUCCACGUGUAGCAGUGAAAUGCGUAGAUAUGUGGAGGAAUACCGAUGGCGAAGGCAGCCCCCUGGGAUAACGCUGACGCUCAUGCACGAAAGCGUGGGGAGCAAACAGGAUUAGAUACCCCCGUAGUCCCUGAGCGGGCUGGCAAGGCGCAU